CACUUACAACCACAUCUUAUACAUUAUUAUGUGAUAUUUACAAAGUUAACCAUUUCAUAUUUUGACAAAUCCUAAACAUUACAAAUCUUUUGUUAUGCUCUAUGGUAGGUAAAAAGUCCUGUAUUUGUAAAAACUAUUCCAUGAAAACUUGUAGUUUGAAACGUGGUUCCUAGUAACACUGUGUGUCCUGUUGAUCCACUCAGGACACACACUCCAUCCAUGCUGUGUAAUUGCAUAAAUCCUGGUUUUCAUCAUGGCGGUCGCUGCACAGGACUUGACGUGUCUUUGAUGUUCACAAAGAGGCUCUGAAAUUUACUUUAGACGAUGCAUGAACAAAAGGCCCACUGGGACUGCAUGGACUCACCAGAUCACCCACAGCGUGAUCGAGAUCCAGCGGAUGUUUGGGGAACGGAGCAGGUCACAGAUGUUGCAGGGCCUCCUCUUCUUGGCCUUCACUCUGUUCUGUGGAGCAGCGGAGCAUGAAGAACAACAACAGACAUCUAAUUAACAAGCUGAGAUGUCAGCCAAGCGGUACUGUAAUGACACUGAGGCUUUUGAGUUCGCUGUCACUUGAGGAGGGAAUUUGUAGUUUCUACCAGCUUUGUACAUCCAGAGGCGAAAACCUUUUUUUUUCUUCAGUCAGUUGUGAAAAGCAUGGUUCAAUCCUUGCCAGUGAUUCUCCAGUUAAUUUUAAUCUGGGCUUUGACUGGGCCCUUUUACUACUAAAUAAUGCAGUGAUCGGCAUCUUUACAUUGUUGUCCUGCCUGCAAUUGUCAGCCCAUUGUUCUCCUGAGAGGUAAACCUCUAACCUGCUUCAUUAGGUUAGAAAAUCGUCUCCUAUUCAGCUUCAUUUGUCCAAGCAUAAAAUCUAAUCAAUUAAAUAAAAGUAUCCCCACAGGAUGAUGUUGCCAU
This is a long non-coding RNA of Poecilia latipinna (sailfin molly), 912 nucleotides long. RefSeq lists it as uncharacterized. NCBI's taxonomy places the organism in Eukaryota, Metazoa, Chordata, Actinopteri, Cyprinodontiformes, Poeciliidae. The transcript has 2 exons. The record is from RefSeq and is a predicted model, not a curated record.